CUCAGUCCUCAAAAAGGGCUGCAGCCUUCAUUGGCUACAAGACACCUAGUCCUUGCGGUACUAUCGAGCGUGACGCUUGGUGGGAGUCUAUGGUGUGCUGGCACCGCAACGUGGACUCUACGCUACCGAAACACAACGUACAACGGAAACAACACACCUGUGAGAGAGCGGACCAAACGCCGGCAACGGAAUACGGCUAGCUGUGCAGAGCGUGCACGGCUGGGCGACCGGACGAGGUAUGCAGCUCUGGCAACUGUUUUGCCCCCACGUGUUGAAGGAGCGGCUUACGAGAAAGCUAUGAACACUAGCGGCAGUCACGGGAGACGAGUUGUCGACGCAAUACUAGUAGCCGAGGCCAAUAAUGCCGCUUCAUUCUGGCGAAGUAAAAAUACCGGUAGCAAACAACCAAUGGCCCCUGGCCGCAAGACGCUCUAGCGAACUUCUUCUCCGCGUGGCUUGGUCGCCGACCUCCAGAGAGCCUCACUGGACAUGUCAUCACUGAAGGCUCAGUCACUAUCAACAAAGCACUCGGCUCUGAAGGGACUAUGAUGUUUGCGGAAUGGUCGACGUCUGCUUUCCGGGACCAGGUAGCUACUCAGCUGAAAAAGCACCGAAGACGAGGGAGUGCGUGGUGUGUUCCCAGCACAUCGACACGUCGUUCCUACAUCCCCUUUCAAGCCUUUGUUUUGUCCUUUUCCUCGUUUCUUUUUAAUAGUAAGUCAAGCGGGCGAGGAAAUAUUGCUAUCCUGCAGUGAAUACGUAUUGCUGUCCCGCAGUGGAGCGCAGUCGACGACAGGUGAACACUCGAUCGAGCUCCGCGGAGGGUUGUCGAUGGCUGCUAGUCCCGGCAGGCCAGCCUCAAUCAGCGGGCAGCGGACGGUAGCGCGCUACCUGAGGCAGUACAUGUACUAUUAGUCAGUGUUAGCGCAAGAAGAUGCGUGUGCGGCCGGAACCGCAUUCAAUGUACUUUGCGGAAGAAUGACGGAAGAGUUUUCCGAGCAGCGACUAAUGACAACAUCCGACGACGGGAACUCUGGCAAAACCGAGGAGUGUCAAGGAAGAAGUCACCUUGUCUGUCUCAGCGAGUCAGUACAGAUAUUGCAGUUCUCAGGGGAUGCUGAAAGGUCUUGGUACAACACACUGAAGCGUAUCCGACAGGUUCUCAGGGGACGCUGAAAGGUCUUGGUAAAACACACUGAAGCGUAACCGAUAGGAUUGUGGAAAAGCUCUGCAUGGGCAUGGGUGCACAGCACAGCCAGAACAAUUUUGCACUGUUUGAGUAGUGUGGAUCACUAUCAAAGAACAUCGAAGAUCGUGUCAUUGUCAAUGCAUGGCAUGGUGUCUGUCUGCUAUCAGUCUGUUUAUAUACGCAGGUUAAUCAAAUAACAAACCUUAUGCAUUUCUUCUGCUCUGUUACUGGUCAAAUCAUACUAGUUACAUAUCUUUAAUCUUUGUUGGCCUUCCCGCCACUGUUCAUCUGUGUCAUUUCCAACCAUUUGUUUUUUUGACCUCCUGCUGCAUGGUUCUUUGAAGUGCGCACAACCUCCCAAUCAAUCCAAGAUCUGAUUGAAAAAAUCAGCAGACUUUUAUCUGACUUGUUGGCCUUCACGCCACUGUUCAUCUGUGUCAUUUUCAACCAUUUGGUUUUAUUGACCUGCUGUCGCAUGGUUCUUUGUAGUGCGCACAACUUCGCAAUCUAGAACUGUUCUUUAUAAAAUUUGUUUGAACAGUUGAUGAAGACAAUUCGAACGUGCCCUUAGUAGUUGCGGUUGCUUCUGCUACUGUUGAUGCUGCUGUUGUUAUGGUCGUCAUCGUUUUGUUGCUGCUGCUGCUCUCGUAACUCUUGCUGUUCUAGUAUUUUUUGUAAUUCAUUUAUUGCACGGGGUAGUGACAAAAACGCUGCCCUCUAUUCUAAAGACUGUAAAACCAGAAAGUUUAACAACCAAAUUUUUUUUUUUGAAAUUUUGGCCAAAUAACGUGCGGAAAGUUUAACGAUGGCUAUCUGGUCGGCCACCUGGUACCCAUCUGUAUGCACGGACAUUAUUCUCCCCAUAAAUAAUUAUAAAAAGUAAAUUAUCGUGUCCGUUUCCGAAGGGAACUCACGACGGUCGCUAACACCCGAUAAACCCUAUCUCCCCAUCACGUUUCUUGAAAUGACGAAAAAACUGGUCGCUAAACGUUAG
Molecule: long non-coding RNA, 2183 nt
Organism: Sycon ciliatum
Lineage: Eukaryota; Metazoa; Porifera; Calcarea; Leucosolenida; Sycettidae
Exons: 4
Source: RefSeq, a predicted model, not a curated record